Molecule: non-coding RNA, 1887 nt
Organism: Ictidomys tridecemlineatus (thirteen-lined ground squirrel)
Lineage: Eukaryota; Metazoa; Chordata; Mammalia; Rodentia; Sciuridae
Source: RefSeq, a predicted model, not a curated record
AGUCUCCACGUGGGGCCCGAGGUAGGGUUGGUGCAGUGACCCCCCACAGGAGUCAAGUGUAUCCAGCAGCACGGGGACCACACAGUGUCUAAACAUGGUGACAAUGCUGAAUUUUACCUGGGUCUUGUGAUCCUCUAAAUCCUCUAAGUGAUGGUAAGAAACACCAGAGCCAUUUAUUAGUAAUGUGGAAGACAGCUGAGGGUAAAGAACCACUCUCUUCAUAAGGCUUAGAUGAGACUCACGGUGCCCCCUUAUUUAUCUUAAGAGCAGACAGAGUCCUCUGAAUUCCCACUCCUUAUCUGCUUACCUUAUGCUUCCCUCUUCUCCACUCCUCACAACAAAACGCCUGUUAGUCCAUCUUUGCUAAACUGUACUUCUUUCCUCCAAGUUCCUGAAUCUCGACCUCACCCUAAAACAGAAUGCAGCCCUUCCUUAACACUCCCCACAAGAACAGGCUGUUCUUAGGGUCACACAUUCUCUUUCAUGUUGUGACCAAGCUACCCUUUCAUCCCACUUGCAUAGAUUUUGUUCUUUAUAGCUAUGUUUACUUCCUAUUAUAAAAAAGAAAGAAAGAAAUUUUCCCCUAAAACCUCCGUUAUAAACUUGGGUUCAUUACGCGAUCAGAGUUAUCCUUGCGGAAAUAGGCAAUAGUCCGUUCUCCUCCUUACAAUAUUCUUUCCGAUUUCUUUUUUUUUUUCUUUACUAAGUCUGGAUUUGUUUUUUUAUUUGACAGUGAUGAGAAAAAAAAAAAAGACCUGAGUGGAAAAACUCACAAGACUUCCUGAAACGUGAGUUAGCCUCCUGGAGAACUUCAGAAAGAGGAAGGAUCAUGUGAAGAAGACUAAUUAUUCACAGCUCUCAAAUGGCCAUAAUUUGGGUAUUAAAUAUGAAAUGCAUUGUUAUUUUGUGAACAGAUUUUGAGAACAGGACAUUUGAGUGACAUUCAAAUAUUUUUCAAUAGGAAAGACACCGCAGGUGUCACACUCAGGCAGCUGACAGCAAUUCUUGCGCCAACAUUGGGAAUUGCUCUAACAUUAAAAUCUCGCCUCUUAUGAGGAAUACGCAGUUAAGGAAAAAAAAAAUCCUUAUCUCCAAAGGCAAACAUUUUGCCUUUGGCAGGACAGAGCUAGAAAUAACUCCUCUUUUCCCACACGCCAGGAAAGAAAAUCCCUAAAUCUUCUCUCAAAGGUGACCCCAAUACCUCUGACACACUAGAAAAGUCAACACGUCCUUCCUGCCUUUGCCACUUGGAUGUCUCAACCUUCUCUAGUUGAAGCUGUGUCAAUCAUCAACAAAAGCAACAAAUUAACUUGUCAACUCUUACAUUGACUUAGUUAACCAUGUCAUCCUUCAGAGUAAGAAAUAGCAGGUAUGAAGGGAAAGGAGUACUUUCAGAGUCACACAGACCUAGAUUCAAAUCCAGCCUCUGGCACCUACCUCUGCGGUCAUCUUGAAGGAAAGGUACAUGUUGGUGUGUUCUUUGCACAUGUAUAAACGGAUUUACUUCCUGAUUUGCCUGCCAAGAAGGUCUACAAGUAGUGUGAGCUCAGCAGCAAUGAGCAUGCCAAGCACCCAGAUCUUGGAUUCUAAAUAUCCUUCUUAACUAAAUGCUUUUUGGAAAACAGACUGAUUUGAAGGCUGCAACAAGAACAGGACAAGAAUUUGGGGGCCUUAUUUUGUGCUGAAAAUACAGUACAAGGGGUUGUCACAGAAUGAUGAGUGUUUGUCAAAAGGUUCAAGAGCCAUUUUGGAAGCAGGCCUAAUGGCUGAUUAUGAAAUCAUUAAAGUAUGCAUAUAAAGACAAUAAUCGAUUGCAACCUGUUUAAUAUCACCAGAGUUCGUAAGUUUUUACUGAAGUAAAUAAACAUAUACAUAAAUUAACUGAGA